AGAAUCAACGCUGGCGGCGUGCCUAACACAUGCAAGUCGAACGAGAAAGUGGAGCAAUCCAUUAGUAAAGUGGCGCACGGGUGAGUAACACGUGACUAACCUACCCUUGAGUGGGGGAUAACCUAGAGAAAUCUGGGCUAAUACCGCAUAAUACCUUCGGGUCAAAGGAGCAAUUCGCUUAAGGAGGGGGUCGCGGCCGAUUAGUUAGUUGGCGGGGUAAUGGCCCACCAAGACUAUGAUCGGUA
This 245-nucleotide ribosomal RNA is filed under the name uncultured bacterium. RNAcentral's name for it is "partial small subunit ribosomal RNA". It matches the Rfam family "Bacterial small subunit ribosomal RNA", at positions 26 to 285 of the family's 1533-position model. The record is from RNAcentral.